ACACACGAAUAUUCUUAUUAAUGUGCUUUGGUAAAGUGGGCUAAGGUUUCGUUAGGGGGCUUUAAGUAUAGGUAUUUCUCUUUCUUAAUUUUGUAUUAUAAUGAUCAUAUUCACAUAUAUAUGGUGGGUUUUGUGUAAGUACAUAUAAUUUCCGUUCUUUUAUAACGAAACAUCGUUUUUUGAUAUAGAAAAAUUAUGCGCGUAUAAUAUUACUAUGACAUGAAAUUUUAAAUUAUUUUAUGGAUAAUAGAGGUGAAUUGCCAAGGAAGUAAAAUGAGAUCAAAUGAUCAAGUAUUUUUUUAUUUUUUAUUUUUUUUUAAAUUUGUUUUGCAUACAUUGGGUCAAGGACAGCCGUUGAUGGAGAUGGUAAUUAACCAAACUUUGCGAUUUCGAGAUUCUAAAUAUCCUUUGAACCUUGAUUACGUGGUUAGUUUAAACUAUAGUAUUGAUUUUGUUUCAACUAUGGUUCUUCCUUGGGAACUUUUUCUUUGAUCAGUAAUAUUUUUAAUUGGUAUGAUUUCCAAGUUCUUCUUUAUAAGAUUUUUUUCAUCACGUUAUUAGAAUAUUUUUUGUUUCUUUUAUCAUAUUUUUUUAUUACGUUGUGUUUGUCUUGAACCGUAGUUUUAUGCUAUCAUUUUGUAGCUCACCGAUGGCAGAAUAAGCCGAAGAAGUUUGUGCCUUUUUCUUGUUUCCUUCAAAAGAUGCAGCAGAGUUCAUCCUUGAAGUGAAGGAGGAAUUUGCUAAUUAACAAAGUUGCCUGUAAUUGUCAUCCCACCAAUACAAGCAAAUACAUCGAAAACUCUUCUGCGUUUUAUCGAGUUUACACUUAUGAUCAGGUUCGUAAUAUAAGGUCUUAUAAUGGAGAAAAGAGAGCCUAUCUUUGUGAUUGCUUUCAGUCCCUUGAUGAUGAUCAAUAUUGUUGCCGAGAAGAUCUUUGUUGGAGCAUAGGAUCAGAAUUUUUGGAGCAGUGUUGUGGUCUAUAUUCAGUUCUAUGGAAAAAAAUUACAACUACGAUAAGAAAAUUUACGAGGCAAUUUCAGAAGAAAAAAAUAUCAAAAACAAUUAUAGGUAAAGAACCAAAAGACUUUGUUUAUAUAUUAGAACAAUUAGAAAUUCAAUAAUUAAUUUGUGUGCUCU
Lycium barbarum (goji berry) is the source of this 1137-nucleotide long non-coding RNA. RefSeq lists it as uncharacterized. The record is from RefSeq and is a predicted model, not a curated record. NCBI's taxonomy places the organism in Eukaryota, Viridiplantae, Streptophyta, Magnoliopsida, Solanales, Solanaceae. The transcript is spliced from 4 exons.